This is an unclassified non-coding RNA of Rhinopithecus roxellana (golden snub-nosed monkey), 98 nucleotides long. It matches the Rfam family "Y RNA". Rfam says of the family: Y RNAs are components of the Ro ribonucleoprotein particle (Ro RNP), in association with Ro60 and La proteins. The Y RNAs and Ro60 and La proteins are well conserved, but the function of the Ro RNP is not known. In humans the RNA component can be one of four small RNAs -- hY1, hY3, hY4 and hY5. The record is from Ensembl. NCBI's taxonomy places the organism in Eukaryota, Metazoa, Chordata, Mammalia, Primates, Cercopithecidae.
GGCUGGUCCAACAAUACUGGUUUUUACAACUAACUGAUCACAAGAAGUUACAGAUUUCUUUGUUCCUUCUCCACUCGCACUGCUUCACUUGACUUAAA